RNAcentral lists this ribosomal RNA (497 nucleotides) under uncultured bacterium. RNAcentral describes it as "partial 16S ribosomal RNA". It matches the Rfam family "Bacterial small subunit ribosomal RNA", at positions 28 to 507 of the family's 1533-position model. The record is from RNAcentral.
GAUGAACGCUGGCGGCGUGCCUAAUACAUGCAAGUCGAGCGAACGGACGAGAAGCUUGCUUCUCUGAUGUUAGCGGCGGACGGGUGAGUAACACGUGUAUAACCUACCUAUAAGACUGGUAUAACUUCGGGAAACCGUAGCUAAUACCGGAUAAUAUUUUGAACCGCAUGGUUCAAAAGUGAAAGACGGUCUUGCUGUCACUUAUAGAUGGAUCCGCGCUGCAUUAGCUAGUUGGUAAGGUAACGGCUUACCAAGGCAACGAUGCAUAGGCGAAGUGAGAGGGUGAUCGCCGGCACUGGAGGUGGGACACGGUCAAGGGUCCUAAGGGAGGCAGCAGUAGGGAAUCGUCCGCAGUGGGCGAAAGCAUGACGGAGCGACGCCGCGUGAGUGAUGACGGUGUUCGGAUCGGAAAGAUGUGUUAUUAGGGAAGAACAGAUGUGUAAGUAGCUGAGCAGAUAUUGACGGUACCUAGUCAGAAAGCCACGGCUAACUACGUG